RNAcentral lists this ribosomal RNA (635 nucleotides) under uncultured Marinobacter sp. RNAcentral describes it as "bacterial SSU rRNA". It matches the Rfam family "Bacterial small subunit ribosomal RNA", at positions 870 to 1504 of the family's 1533-position model. The record is from RNAcentral. Lineage: Bacteria; Pseudomonadati; Pseudomonadota; Gammaproteobacteria; Pseudomonadales; Marinobacteraceae.
CGCCUGGGGAGUACGGCCGCAAGGUUAAAACUCAAAUGAAUUGACGGGGGCCCGCACAAGCGGUGGAGCAUGUGGUUUAAUUCGACGCAACGCGAAGAACCUUACCUGGCCUUGACAUCCAGAGAACUUUCCAGAGAUGGAUUGGUGCCUUCGGGAACUCUGAGACAGGUGCUGCAUGGCCGUCGUCAGCUCGUGUCGUGAGAUGUUGGGUUAAGUCCCGUAACGAGCGCAACCCCUAUCCCUGGUUGCUAGCAGGUAAUGCUGAGAACUCCAGGGAGACUGCCGGUGACAAACCGGAGGAAGGUGGGGAUGACGUCAGGUCAUCAUGGCCCUUACGGCCAGGGCUACACACGUGCUACAAUGGCGCGUACAGAGGGCUGCCGACUCGCGAGAGUGAGCCAAUCCCUUAAAACGCGUCGUAGUCCGGAUCGGAGUCUGCAACUCGACUCCGUGAAGUCGGAAUCGCUAGUAAUCGCGAAUCAGAAUGUCGCGGUGAAUACGUUCCCGGGCCCUGUACACACCGCCCGUCACACCAUGGGAGUGGAUUGCACCAGAAGUAGUUAGUCUAACCUUCGGGAGGACGAUUACCACGGUGUGGUUCAUGACUGGGGUGAAGUCGUAACAAGGUAACCGUA